Molecule: long non-coding RNA, 437 nt
Organism: Ctenopharyngodon idella (grass carp)
Lineage: Eukaryota; Metazoa; Chordata; Actinopteri; Cypriniformes; Xenocyprididae
Exons: 2
Source: RefSeq, a predicted model, not a curated record
UUCAGAUGAUCAUGUGUUCUGACAAGGUGCUGAAGCCUUGGCGAGAAGGAAACCAGGUGUGGGUGAGUUGGUCUCAGACUCUGAAAGUCAAUGUGACCAGAGAGCUCCUAAUUAAAAUGGCCUCCCAUAAAGUCACAGUUAGAGUAUGGGACAGCAAAGACAAGAUAUCCUUCAAAGCCAGGAAUGACAGACCCAAAGGCUUCAGACUACGACAGGAGAGGUCUGGAAAGGAUCCAGAUCAAAUGGGUAGCAUCAGAAAGAAGGUUUAUAAGAUGAGAGCUAUCUAUGAGAAGGAGAACAGCAAAACAAGGAAAUUUAUGAAACACAGCAAAGAUCCAGAAUCGGCUGACUAUAGGAAGCAUUUGGAGCUUCGCUGUGACACAGGGAUGACAUAAUGCUAAUGUUUAUACUGUAUGCUAAUAAAAGACUUACUAUGA